UUAGAAGGCAUUAUCUCUUAACCACUCAUUAGAAAAGUAGAUAUCAAGGGGAAAAAAAUCUUUAUUCAGGACACUAGUUCUCAGUAAAUUCAGAACAAAUAAGCAUUUUUUUGUAUUCAAAUCCACUUACUGCAACCUUGUGCUCAAGCAAAGUAAGUCCAAGUAAAAUAUAAUGGUCAGAAUCUAGCAAUACUCAGAGAAUUUUCUGGGUUCCUAAUCACUAUAGGUCUUAUUUCACCAAGCAAUUAAAUAUGCUUGUAUCCACAAGGCUUCUGUAAUUUAAACACAGGCCAAAAUGCAGUCUUGGCCUCAAGCAUUCAUUGAAUAAGCACAGGAUAUAUACAUGCUUAAAGUCAAGCAGGUGCUUGAGGUUUUUGGUGAAUCACAGCCUCCUAAAACAUCUCUUGUUGUCAACAGAGAAGGCAGGCUGCUGAGGCACCGGGUACCUGCUGGUGCGCCAGUUUGGGAAUGAAGUACCAGGCAGACCAUUGUGAGGAGGCUUGUGCUGAAGGAGGCAGCUCUCUAUGGACUUCUGGAGUGGUAAGAAUGACAAUCUGUGAUCACUAAACUCAUGUAAAAAAAAAAAAAAUAUAUAUAUAUAUAUAUUUAUAUUUAUGUUUUUUCUUAAUGGAUAAGGAGAAAUAUCUACUCUGUAUCACCCAGCCACUGAAAGUCACAACGUGCAGCUAGCACACUUAGCAAAUAGAGCCCACUGAAUGGUUACCUUGAGUAAUCUAAAGAAGAUUAAUAAUAAUAGAUGCAUCUUUUAAAAAUAUGUUCCAAAUUCUGAUACUGUCUUUUGGACUUAACUAAUUCCUAUUUGCUUUGCCUUUUUCUUUAUUGUGCAUUAUUUUCAAUGAGUGCUUUUACUCCCAUUUCCCCCAUUUUACAGUAAUCAUUGUCAGGGUGAUGUACACAUUGCAACGUCUUGUUUUGCUUCUGCAAGUUCUGGCAGACAGCAGAGGGAAUGUGUGCAGCUCAGGGAAUUAUACACCCUUUACACAGACAUCAGAGAUGAGCUUGAUGCCACUAAGCUCUCUUUGUGCCUGCCAUGAUGUAGAAGAUAGUUCAGUGGAGCUGAUACUUGUGUCAUCCUGUGGUCCUAACCACCCAAAUUCCUUCCCUUGCUGAGUCCUGCUGCACACUUUUUUGAUCAACCUUUCUUCCAUUACAAAUGAGGCAUCCGUAAGGACAGUAACUGGGGCAGGACUUUUCCAGAAAAGAGGAAUGUGCCUCUCAUGUGCUGGGGUGAGCAUAGGUAAAAUUCAGCACAGCCAGGACUUUUGUUGCAUGACCUUAUUUGUCUUGGUAAGUGUUUGAAGAAUCAGGACCGAUAUCUCUCAGCACUGGUGCUGGAUUUCCACUUAUUUUGCACCGGGGUCUUCCUAUGAAUCCCCUGUGGGAGCAGUUCAGUAGUGCUUAAAGGGAUGGCAUUUCUGUAAUUAUCUAAUUAUUGUUGCAUAGUUCUUUCUUGUGCUUGUUAACCCUUCAUCCCACUGAAAGUGGAAUCCCACACCAUUGAACUUGAAUAAAAAGUGACUGAGACCAACA
Molecule: long non-coding RNA, 1551 nt
Filed under: Anas platyrhynchos platyrhynchos (common mallard)
Lineage: Eukaryota; Metazoa; Chordata; Aves; Anseriformes; Anatidae
Description: lncRNA (ENSAPLG00000020262.1)
Source: RNAcentral